GAUGAACGCUAGCGGCAGGCUUAAUACAUGCAAGUCGAACGGGAUUCAGGGUAGCAAUACUUUGAUGAGAGUGGCGCACGGGUGCGUAACGCGUAUGCAAUCUACCUUUAACAGGGGAAUAGCCCCGAGAAAUCGGGAUUAAUACUCCGUAACAUUGCGGGAUGGCAUCAUUCUGCAAUUAAAGAUUUAUCGGUUAAAGAUGGGCAUGCGUGACAUUAGCUUGUUGGUGAGGUAACGGCUCACCAAGGCAACGAUGUCUAGGGGUCCUGAGAGGGUUAUCCCCCANACUGGUACUGAGACACGGACCAGACUCCUACGGGAGGCAGCAGUAAGGAAUAUUGGUCAAUGGGCGCAAGCCUGAACCAGCCAUGCCGCGUGCAGGAAGACGGCCCUAUGGGUUGUAAACUGCUUUUGUCGGGGAAUAAACCUGUCUACGUGUAGACAGCUGAAGGUACCUGAAGAAUAAGCAUCGGCUAACUCCGUGCCAGCAG
Molecule: ribosomal RNA, 491 nt
Filed under: uncultured bacterium
Lineage: Bacteria
Description: bacterial SSU rRNA
Rfam family: Bacterial small subunit ribosomal RNA
Source: RNAcentral